GAUGAACGCUGGCGGCGUGCCUAAUACAUGCAAGUCGAGCGAACAGACGAGGAGCUUGCUCCUCUGACGUUAGCGGCGGACGGGUGAGUAACACGUGGAUAACCUACCUAUAAGACUGGGAUAACUUCGGGAAACCGGAGCUAAUACCGGAUAAUAUAUUGAACCGCAUGGUUCAAUAGUGAAAGACGGUUUUGCUGUCACUUAUAGAUGUAUCCGCGCCGCAUUAGCUAGUUGGUAAGGUAACGGCUUACCAAGGCAACGAUGCGUAGCCGACCUGAGAGGGUGAUCGGCCACACUGGAACUGAGACACGGUCCAGACUCCUACGGGAGGCAGCAGUAGGGAAUCUUCCGCAAAGGGCGAAAGCUUGACGGAGCAACGCCGCGUGAGUGAUGAAGGUCUUCGGAUCGUAAAACUCUGUUAUUAGGGAAGAACAAAUGUGUAAGUAACUAUGCACGUCUUGACGGUACCUAAUCAGAAAGCCACGGCUAACUACGUG
This 497-nucleotide ribosomal RNA is filed under the name uncultured bacterium. Its description in RNAcentral is "partial 16S ribosomal RNA". It matches the Rfam family "Bacterial small subunit ribosomal RNA", at positions 28 to 507 of the family's 1533-position model. The record is from RNAcentral.